GGCCCGAUGGUCUAGAGGCAUGAUUCUCGCUUAGGGUGCGAGAGGUCCCGGGUUCAAUUCCCGGUCGGGCCC
Molecule: non-coding RNA, 72 nt
Organism: Nematostella vectensis (starlet sea anemone)
Lineage: Eukaryota; Metazoa; Cnidaria; Anthozoa; Actiniaria; Edwardsiidae
Source: Rfam